GACGAACCGUGCGAACGUUAUUCGGAAUCACUGGGCUUAAAGGGCGCGUAGGCGGACCGGAAAGUCAGGGGUGAAAGCCUCCAGCCCAACUGGAGAAGCGCCUUUGAUACUGCCGGUCUCGAGGGGUGCAGGGGCAUGCGGAACUCAGGGUGGAGCGGUGAAAUGCGUAGAUAUCGUAAGGAAGACCAGUGGCGAAGGCGGGUCUCUGGACAGUUCCUGACGCUGAGGCACGAAGGUCAGGGGAGCAAACGGG
Molecule: ribosomal RNA, 253 nt
Filed under: uncultured bacterium
Lineage: Bacteria
Description: partial 16S ribosomal RNA
Rfam family: Bacterial small subunit ribosomal RNA
Source: RNAcentral